Oryza sativa Indica Group (long-grained rice) is the source of this 205-nucleotide microRNA precursor. It matches the Rfam family "MIR812 microRNA precursor family". The record is from Rfam. NCBI's taxonomy places the organism in Eukaryota, Viridiplantae, Streptophyta, Magnoliopsida, Poales, Poaceae.
AAUAAGUGUAGCCAUGAGUUUCCGAACCCAACUUUGAUCGUCCGUUUUAUUUGAAAUUUUUUUAUAAUUAGCAGUUUUGUUGUUAUAAGAUGAUAAAACAUGAAUAAUACUUUACUCAUGACUUAUGUUUUUAAUUUUUUUAAAAAAAAAUUCAAAUAAGACGAACGGUCAAAGUUGGAUGCUGAAAAUCAUGUCUGUACUUAUU